RNAcentral lists this ribosomal RNA (356 nucleotides) under uncultured bacterium. RNAcentral describes it as "bacterial SSU rRNA". It matches the Rfam family "Bacterial small subunit ribosomal RNA", at positions 8 to 349 of the family's 1533-position model. The record is from RNAcentral.
AGAGUUUGCUCAUGGCUCAGGAUGAACGCUAGCUACAGGCUUAACACAUGCAAGUCGAGGGGAAACGGACAUCGAAAGCUUGCUUUUGUAUGGGCGUCGACCGGCGCACGGGUGAGUAACGCGUAUCCAACCUGCCCAUCACUUGGGGAUAACCUUGCGAAAGUAAGACUAAUACCCAAUGAUAUCUCUAGAAGACAUCUGAAAGAGAUUAAAGAUUUAUCGGUGAUGGAUGGGGAUGCGUCUGAUUAGCUUGUUGGCGGGGUAACGGCCACCAAGGCUACGAUCAGGUAGGGGUUCUGAGGAGGAAGGUCCCCCACAUUGGAACUGAGACACGGUCCAAACUCCGUACGGGAGCA